RNAcentral lists this ribosomal RNA (290 nucleotides) under Theileria ovis. Its description in RNAcentral is "partial 18S ribosomal RNA". It matches the Rfam family "Eukaryotic small subunit ribosomal RNA", at positions 598 to 921 of the family's 1831-position model. Lineage: Eukaryota; Apicomplexa; Aconoidasida; Piroplasmida; Theileriidae. The record is from RNAcentral.
CGUAUAUUAAAAUUGUUGCAGUUAAAAAGCUCGUAGUUGAAUUUCUGCUGCAUUGCUUUUGCUCCUUUACGAGUCUUUGCAUUGUGGCUUAUUUCGGACUUUGUUUUACAAUGUCCGGAUGUUUACUUUGAGAAAAUUAGAGUGCUCAAAGCAGGCUUUCGCCUUGAAUAGUUUAGCAUGGAAUAAUAAAGUAGGACUUUGGUUCUAUUUUGUUGGUUUUAGGUACCAAAGUAAUGGUUAAUAGGAACAGUUGGGGGCAUUCGUAUUUAACUGUCAGAGGUGAAAUUCUU